RNAcentral lists this ribosomal RNA (473 nucleotides) under uncultured bacterium. Its description in RNAcentral is "SSU rRNA". It matches the Rfam family "Bacterial small subunit ribosomal RNA", at positions 26 to 518 of the family's 1533-position model. The record is from RNAcentral.
AGGACGAACGCUGGCGGCGUGCUUAACACAUGCAAGUCGAGCGGAAAGGCCCUUCGGGGUACUCGAGCGGCGAACGGGUGAGUAACACGUGAGCAAUCUGCCCUUAGCUUCGGGAUAGCUCCGGGAAACCGGAAUUAAUACCGAAUAUGACUUCGGCCGACAUCGGCCUUGGUGGAAAGUUUUUCGGCUAGGGAUGAACUCGCGGCCUAUCAGCUUGUUGGUGGGGUAAUGGCCUACCAAGGCGACGACGGGUAGCCGGCCUGAGAGGGCGACCGGCCACACUGGGACUGAGACACGGCCCCAGACUCCUACGGGAGGCAGCAGUGGGGAAUAUUGCGCAAUGGGCGAAAGCCUGACGCAGCGACGCCGCGUGGGGGAUGAAGGCCUUCGGGUUGUAACCCCUUUCAGCAGGGACGAAGCGAAGUGACGGUACCUGCAGAAGAAGCGCCGGCUAACUACGUGCCAGCAGCCGC